This 697-nucleotide ribosomal RNA is filed under the name uncultured bacterium. Its description in RNAcentral is "bacterial SSU rRNA". It matches the Rfam family "Bacterial small subunit ribosomal RNA", at positions 111 to 794 of the family's 1533-position model. The record is from RNAcentral.
UAACACGUAGGGAACCUGCCCGCGCACCGGGAAUACGCUCUGGAAACGGAGAACAAAUCCCGAUGUACAGGAAGGAGGCAUCUUCUUUCUGUGAAACAUCCUUUAGGGGAUGGGGCGCGGAUGGACCUGCGGUGCAUUAGUUGGUUGGCGGGGUAAAGGCCCACCAAGACGAUGAUGCAUAGCCGGCCUGAGAGGGCGGACGGCCACAUUGGGACUGAGACACGGCCCAGACUCCUGCGGGAGGCAGCAGUAGGGAAUUUUCGUCAAUGGGCGCAAGCCUGAACGAGCGAUGCCGCGUGAGUGAAGAAGGCCUUCGGGUCGUAAAGCUCUGUUGCGGGGGAAAAAAGGCAGCAUCAGGAAAUGGGUGCUGACUGAUGGUGCCCCGCCAGAAAGUCACGGCUAACUACGUGCCAGCAGCCGCGGUAAUACGUAGGUGGCGAGCGUUAUCCGGAAUGAUUGGGCGUAAAGGGUGCGCAGGCGGUCCUGCUAGUCUGGAGUGAAACGCAUGAGCUCAACUCAUGCAUGGCUUUGGAAACUGGAGGACUGGAGAGCAGGAGAGGGCGGUGGAACUCCAUGUGUAGCGGUAAAAUGCGUAGAUAUAUGGAAGAACACCAGUGGCGAAGGCGGCCGCCUGGCCUGUUGCUGACGCUGAGGCACGAAAGCGUGGGGAGCAAAUAGGAUUAGAUACCCUAGUAGU